This 498-nucleotide ribosomal RNA is filed under the name uncultured bacterium. Its description in RNAcentral is "partial 16S ribosomal RNA". It matches the Rfam family "Bacterial small subunit ribosomal RNA", at positions 30 to 523 of the family's 1533-position model. The record is from RNAcentral.
AUUGAACGCUGGCGGCAUGCCUUACACAUGCAAGUCGAACGGUAACAGGUCUUCGGAUGCUGACGAGUGGCGAACGGGUGAGUAAUACAUCGGAACGUGCCUAGUAGUGGGGGAUAACUACUCGAAAGAGUGGCUAAUACCGCAUGAGAUCUACGGAUGAAAGCAGGGGAUCGCAAGACCUUGUGCUACUAGAGCGGCCGAUAGCAGAUUAGGUAGUUGGUGGGAUAAAAGCUUACCAAGCCGACGAUCUGUAGCUGGUCUGAGAGGACGAUCAGCCACACUGGGACUGAGACACGGCCCAGACUCCUACGGGAGGCAGCAGUGGGGAAUUUUGGACAAUGGGCGAAAGCCUGACCCAGCAAUGCCGCAUGCAGGAUGAAGGCCUUCGGGUUGUAAACUGCUUUUGUACGGAACGAAAAGCCCCGGGUUAAUACCCUGGGGUCAUGACGGUACCGUAAGAAUAAGCACCGGCUAACUACGUGCCAGCCGCCGCCGUAA